This 324-nucleotide ribosomal RNA is filed under the name uncultured eukaryote. RNAcentral describes it as "partial 18S ribosomal RNA". It matches the Rfam family "Eukaryotic small subunit ribosomal RNA", at positions 1470 to 1796 of the family's 1831-position model. The record is from RNAcentral.
CCCUUAGAUGUUCUGGGCUGCACGCGCGCUACACUGAUGCGAUCAACAAGUUUUUCCUAUGUCGAUAGACACGGGUAAUCUUUUGAACUCGCAUCGUGAUGGGGAUAGAUUAUUGUAAUUAUUAAUCUUCAACGAGGAAUUCCUAGUAGGUGCAAAUCAUCAGUUUGUAUCGAUUACGUCCCUGCCCUUUGUACACACCGCCCGUCGCUGCUACCGAUUGGUUGAUCUGGUGAAUUAUUCGGACUGCCGGCUGAAGGGGUUUCCUCAUCUGCCAGCGGAAAGUCUUGUUAACCCUAUCAACUAGAGGAAGCAGAAGUCGUAACA